This 1372-nucleotide ribosomal RNA is filed under the name uncultured bacterium. RNAcentral's name for it is "bacterial SSU rRNA". It matches the Rfam family "Bacterial small subunit ribosomal RNA", at positions 28 to 1381 of the family's 1533-position model. The record is from RNAcentral.
GAUGAACGCUGGCGGCGUGCCUAAUACAUGCAAGUCGAGCGAACGGACGAGAAGCUUGCUUUUCUGAUGUUAGCGGCGGACGGGUGAGUAACACGUGGAUAACCUACCUAUAAGACUGGGAUAACUUCGGGAAACCGGAGCUAAUACCGGAUAAUAUUUUGAACCGCAUGGUUCAAAAGUGAAAGACGGUCUUGCUGUCACUUAUAGAUGGAUCCGCGCUGCAUUAGCUAGUUGGUAAGGUAACGGCUUACCAAGGCAACGAUGCAUAGCCGACCUGAGAGGGUGAUCGGCCACACUGGAACUGAGACACGGUCCAGACUCCUACGGGAGGCAGCAGUAGGGAAUCUUCCGCAAUGGGCGAAAGCCUGACGGAGCAACGCCGCGUGAGUGAUGAAGGUCUUCGGAUCGUAAAACUCUGUUAUUAGGGAAGAACAUAUGUGUAAGUAACUGUGCACAUCUUGACGGUACCUAAUCAGAAAGCCACGGCUAACUACGUGCCAGCAGCCGCGGUAAUACGCAGGUGGCAAGCGUUAUCCGGAAUUAUUGGGCGUAAAGCGCGCGUAGGCGGUUUUUUAAGUCUGAUGUGAAAGCCCACGGCUCAACCGUGGAGGGUCAUUGGAAACUGGAAAACUUGAGUGCAGAAGAGGAAAGUGGAAUUCCAUGUGUAGCGGUGAAAUGCGCAGAGAUAUGGAGGAACACCAGUGGCGAAGGCGACUUUCUGGUCUGUAACUGACGCUGAUGUGCGAAAGCGUGGGGAUCAAACAGGAUUAGAUACCCUGGUAGUCCACGCCGUAAACGAUGAGUGCUAAGUGUUAGGGGGUUUCCGCCCCUUAGUGCUGCAGCUAACGCAUUAAGCACUCCGCCUGGGGAGUACGACCGCAAGGUUGAAACUCAAAGGAAUUGACGGGGACCCGCACAAGCGGUGGAGCAUGUGGUUUAAUUCGAAGCAACGCGAAGAACCUUACCAAAUCUUGACAUCCUUUGACAACUCUAGAGAUAGAGCUUUCCCCUUCGGGGGACAAAGUGACAGGUGGUGCAUGGUUGUCGUCAGCUCGUGUCGUGAGAUGUUGGGUUAAGUCCCGCAACGAGCGCAACCCUUAAGCUUAGUUGCCAUCAUUAAGUUGGGCACUCUAAGUUGACUGCCGGUGACAAACCGGAGGAGGGUGGGGAUGACGUCAAAUCAUCAUGCCCCUUAUGAUUUGGGCUACACACGUGCUACAAUGGACAAUACAAAGGGCAGCGAAACCGCGAGGUCAAGCAAAUCCCAUAAAGUUGUUCUCAGUUCGGAUUGUAGUCUGCAACUCGACUACAUGAAGCUGGAAUCGCUAGUAAUCGUAGAUCAGCAUGCUACGGUGAAUACGUUCCCGGGUCU